Molecule: long non-coding RNA, 963 nt
Filed under: Chrysolophus pictus (golden pheasant)
Lineage: Eukaryota; Metazoa; Chordata; Aves; Galliformes; Phasianidae
Description: lncRNA (ENSCPIG00010012714.1)
Source: RNAcentral
GGAAAAUAUAACAGAUAUUUACAAAUCAUCUUCCAUAUCAGAGGACCCACGAUUGCAUAAGGAUCGCUCCCUUUGGCACUGAAAUAUUACUACCCAUGGGGCAAGCACCAGUCAACCAUGUAGCCCCUCAGGGCGCUUCCACAGAGCAGAGGAGUUUUCAGGAGACAGACUCCAGUUCCUAAUAUGUGCCAAACCCAAGAGCUGACACUGAAGUGUCAGAACUGGCUAUCCCACGGCCAAGGAAUGAAAACUGUCCAAAUUCCAGGAAUGGUGCUGAGAACAGCUGCAAUGAAACCAUGUCCCACCAACUUUGAUCUUGGAUCUUCUGCACAGGAUUAAAGGGGGCUUGAUAUGACGAGUUCACAUACUUGUCACAUCCCUGGGAUAUGAGGAGCUGCCAGAAACCCCUCUGGCUGCCUUGAGUCCAGCUCAAGACACCUUGUCAGGAGUGGCUCAAACAGAAGAGAGCGCUGUUUGUAUCCAUACAAAUAUCCAUUCAAACCCCACAGUUGUCAGAGCAAGGAAUCAUAUUUCCCCAGCGCCUGCCCUCUGGGUAAGAAAAGGCAAACAUAUCAUCCAGAUGCAGAACCACUCCGUACCAGCCUCCAAACUAAGUGUUGCAAAACAGAAUUGCUUUUCCAUCAACCACAUUACAACAUCCAGAACCAGCCUCUGAGGCUUUGGGAAUGAGAGGAAUGCCAUCCACCCCGGCUGUUACCAGACUUGGUUGUCCUUCUGCCGCUUCUCCCCCGCCUCUCCCUCGCCCUAACUCUUUUUAAAGCCAGGAUUCCAGUGUCCCCACGAUGUGGAGUUCAAAACAGUGACCCACCGGACGGGCAGGUGGGAGCAAUUACUAGUGUGGCUGUUUGUAGGGACCCGAGGGGACGGGAUAAGCCCGGGGUUAUUUUGACAGCUGGUGUUAUUGGGGUCACGCUGAAGCGUUUGUGUUCUCAGCGCUAGAAA